Molecule: long non-coding RNA, 766 nt
Filed under: Pogona vitticeps (central bearded dragon)
Lineage: Eukaryota; Metazoa; Chordata; Lepidosauria; Squamata; Agamidae
Description: lncRNA (ENSPVIG00000024181.1)
Source: RNAcentral
CUGUUAGUCUGUUACGAGAUCCCAGCUGAGUUAAAAAGUGAACUUUAACUAGUUUCACUUGAUGCUGCAGCUCGCGACUGCCAUCACAAGAUCAGAGCUAGACCAAGGCUCAAUCUGCUUUCCGUGUCACUAUCUGGAGUGGAGCGCAGAUGGGCACCACAACUUGCGAAGCUCCUGAGAUGAACAUGUGUCGCUUUCAAAACGAGCUUUCUCCCCCCACCUCCCCAAGGCAGGAAGAGGGUGACUCACUCAAUCUCUCUCUUUUCUUCCUUCCCUCCCUCUCUAGCCUCAGAUGCCUGGGUGUGCUGGGGUGCAGCAAGUGGAGGGACCCACGUUCUCGGCAGAAUACAGCAGAAAGAAAAGCCGUUGGAGAACUGGUGAAGUACCAUGAUUAAUUCUGGAAAGUCAGUGGGCCAAGGACCAGCCCUUCCGACUGAGCUGCCGAAAAGAAAGCGAGGGCGGCCUAGAAAGCAGCCACAGGUGCACACCAUGGCUGAAAAAAAGCCCAGGGGAAGACCACGGAAAUGGCUUAUUGUCCAGGAGGAUGCAUAUCAAAAAGCUGGUACUGAAGGGAGAAUCAACCCAAGUUCUGCUACUGCAUGCCCUACCACUGAAGGUACAUCUUCUGGAAAAGGCUGUCCCAGAACCAAACGAGUGAUCGAAUCCAAGAGACCACUGACCACCUCCCCAGCCAUGGCUCAGCAAGAGCCUGCUUGUUGAUGUGUUGAUGUGUUGCUGCAAUAAAAGUUUCUUAAACCCUCUGUCA